ACAAAAUACACUCAACUCACCCAUAUUUCUUGCAUGAGUGGCUCAGCAGAUGAAAUCAAGGUGAAAUGUGUAGCAUGAUAAAGUCGGGAAUAGAUUUAGGGUUGAUCAAAAUGUACAGUGAAUGUUUAUGGGCCUAGCACUCUUCUGCUGCACCACUCUGCUCAGCCUUACAGUGAAUGUUUAAACUAAAAAAUCUUUAUUACUAUAAAAACAGAUUGGUUCUAGUCCCUUCCAAAAUGCCCCUUCUUGCUUAGAACACACUUACCCAAUCAUUCUUGCCACUUUCUGAAGCAGUUCUAGAAGUCUUCUUUCAUGUCUUUAUGAGGUGUGAUCAAAAGUUUGGUGAAUGCUGUUGCUUAGUGCCAUCUAAUCGGAAGGCAGGGUCAUAAAAAUGUUAUGGUAUCUCCUCAUCCACCUGAUUCACCAGAGCUGGCUCUCCCCUGAAGUAAAAACCACCAUGAAAGGCAGUUGGAGGUCUCUAGAGAACAGAAGACUAAGAGAGUCCAUCAGGCAGCUGUGGAAUCACUCCAAGACUGCCAUGGAGAGGUGGAGGAGCCCAGAUGGGUGGUCAUGGAGGACACUUGUGAUUUAUCUGCCCAUCAGCGCCUCCCUCGUCCCCUGGCAGCCUUGUUGGCUUUCAGAAAGAGCAUGCAGAGUGUAUUCUGGAGCAGACCAUUAAGAACACCCACCUGCUAUGGGGGAGGUGAAGUCUUGACAGCCUUCAACCCGAUCCUGUAAUUUCAUUGCUAAGAUUCUCUCUCUCUCUCUCUCUCUCUCUCUCUCUCUCUCUCUGUGUGUGUGUGUGUGUGUGUGUCUCUGUGUCUGUGUCUGUGUCUGUCUCUGUCUCUCUCUUAUUUUUCUUAAAUCAGUGGUAGUAACAACUGUCAGCUGCUAUCAUUUGCAUGUAUUGAAUGCUCACUAUGAAUUGGGCCCUUGGUUCUCAC
This 944-nucleotide long non-coding RNA is filed under the name Chinchilla lanigera (long-tailed chinchilla). RNAcentral describes it as "lncRNA (ENSCLAG00000024388.1)". The record is from RNAcentral. Lineage: Eukaryota; Metazoa; Chordata; Mammalia; Rodentia; Chinchillidae.